Drosophila melanogaster (fruit fly) is the source of this 885-nucleotide non-coding RNA. The record is from Ensembl. NCBI's taxonomy places the organism in Eukaryota, Metazoa, Arthropoda, Insecta, Diptera, Drosophilidae.
GUGUAUGUUGGUGUGUGUGUUACUCUCACUCAUACCAGCACAACGCCACUAAACACACACAAACACACAGACGCACGGCUAUAGCGACAAAGACGGUGUACAGUCCACUUGUUAAAUCAAUAAAAAUAAAAAGAAAUCAAGCCAAAGGCAGGCCACAAAAAUUCAGGAAAAAUCAUUCAGUUUUAGGUAAUCACAAAUUCCCAUAGAUUCCCAUUGUUGAUUGUGGCAGCGAAACGCCAGCAACCUUCAGCGAAUGUCAAGGACCUUUUGAGCACAUGUGUUUGCAGACCAAACACUUUUUCGUCAAACUCAAUUAGCGCACUUUAAAAACACAUUUGUCCGUUGUCGUUAAACACUUGUUGGUGGUCACACACGCAAUUUGCGAAGGAAAUUCUCCUGCAGGACUACUCACCAGGUCUCCAAGUUGCUGAACUUCUUCGUAACCACCUUGCCGAGAUCGAUUCCCAGGCGAUCGACUAUCCGCUGGGCCAAAUCCGGAUGCGAGGUGCCCGAAAACACUUUGAUGUUCGGCAUUCUGGAGUGGAUUAAAUUUAGACAACCAGCCUGUUUCUCCAAAUUGUCUCGGAUCAAACUUCUAGCGCGUAUCGGAUUAGCAGAGCGAACUGGCAUCACACAAUCUAUGAGUAGAAGUUUUUAUUAUAAAUUUUUUUCGCCAAAACGCGGGCAGCGACGUCGACGUCGUCGCCUUAUCGGUGAGAAAGCAAGAGCGUAAAAGAGAGCAACGAAGCUUUUUGCUGCGCACUGCGCUCUCUUUCGCUCGCUCUUUCUGUAAAGCCACCCCAAUUAUCCCCCAUUCCCAUCCAGACCAUGUGAUUUUUCUACGCGUUCUCCAGGGAACUGGAAAGCUAUCGAUUUCGAUUCCGG